RNAcentral lists this ribosomal RNA (326 nucleotides) under uncultured eukaryote. RNAcentral describes it as "partial 18S ribosomal RNA". It matches the Rfam family "Eukaryotic small subunit ribosomal RNA", at positions 1470 to 1796 of the family's 1831-position model. The record is from RNAcentral.
CCCUUAGAUGUUCUGGGCCGCACGCGCGCUACACUGAUGCCUUCAACGAGCCUAGCCUUGACCGAGAGGUCCGGGUAAUCUUUGAAACUGCAUCGUGAUGGGGCUAGAUUAUUGCAAUUAUUAAUCUUCAACGAGGAAUGCCUAGUAAGCGUGAUUCAUCAAAUCGCGUUGAUUACGUCCCUGCCCUUUGUACACACCGCCCGUCGCUCCUACCGAUUGAGUGUGUUGGUGAGGAGUUCGGAUUGGCUCUUAGUGGUGGUUCGCCACCACCUAGAGCUGAGAAGUUCUCCAAACCGCCCCACUUAGAGGAAGGAGAAGUCGUAACA